GCCGGUGUGGCUCAAUGGACUGAGCAUCGGCCUGUGGACUGGAGGGUCCCAGGUUCGAUUCCGGGCAAGGGCA
Molecule: transfer RNA, 73 nt
Filed under: Myotis davidii
Lineage: Eukaryota; Metazoa; Chordata; Mammalia; Chiroptera; Vespertilionidae
Rfam family: tRNA
About the family: Transfer RNA (tRNA) molecules are approximately 80 nucleotides in length. Their secondary structure includes four short double-helical elements and three loops (D, anti-codon, and T loops).
Source: Rfam by way of RNAcentral